This 430-nucleotide ribosomal RNA is filed under the name uncultured archaeon. RNAcentral describes it as "bacterial SSU rRNA". It matches the Rfam family "Archaeal small subunit ribosomal RNA", at positions 474 to 903 of the family's 1478-position model. The record is from RNAcentral.
CACCGGCGGCCCGAGUGGUGGCCACUAUUAUUGGGUCUAAAGGGUCCGUAGCCGGUUUGAUCAGUCUUCCGGGAAAUCUGACAGCUCAACUGUUAGGCUUCCGGGGGAUACUGUCAGACUUGGGACCGGGAGAGGUAAGAGGUACUACAGGGGUAGGAGUGAAAUCUUGUAAUCCUUGUGGGACCACCAGUGGCGAAGGCGUCUUACCAGAACGGGUCCGACGGUGAGGGACGAAAGCUGGGGGCACGAACCGGAUUAGAUACCCGGGUAGUCCCAGCCGUAAAUGAUGCUCGCUAGGUGUCUGGGAUGGUGCGACCGUUUCAGGUGCCGCAGGGAAGCCGUGAAGCGAGCCACCUGGGAAGUACGGCCGCAAGGCUGAAACUUAAAGGAAUUGGCGGGGGAGCACUACAACGGGUGGAGCCUGCGGUUU